Molecule: ribosomal RNA, 253 nt
Filed under: uncultured bacterium
Lineage: Bacteria
Description: partial 16S ribosomal RNA
Rfam family: Bacterial small subunit ribosomal RNA
Source: RNAcentral
UACGUAGGGUGCGAGCGUUAAUCGGAAUUACUGGGCGUAAAGCGUGCGCAGGCGGUUUUGUAAGCCAGAUGUGAAAUCCCCGGGCUUAACCUGGGAAUGGCAUUUGGGACUGCAAGGCUGGAGUGUGGCAGAGGAGACUGGAAUUCCUGGUGUAGCAGUGAAAUGCGUAGAUAUCAGGAGGAAUACCGAUGGCGAAGGCAGGUCUCUGGGUUAACACUGACGCUCAUGCACGAAGGCGUGGGGAGCAAACAGG